This 207-nucleotide ribosomal RNA is filed under the name uncultured bacterium. Its description in RNAcentral is "partial 16S ribosomal RNA". It matches the Rfam family "Bacterial small subunit ribosomal RNA", at positions 568 to 774 of the family's 1533-position model. The record is from RNAcentral.
UGCGUAGGCGGCCUGGUAAGUUGGAUGUGAAAUCCCUCGGCUCAACCGAGGAACUGCGUUCAAUACUGCCAGGCUUGAGGGGGAUAGGGGUGAGCGGAACUAAUGGUGGAGCGGUGAAAUGCGUUGAUAUCAUUAGGAACACCGGAGGCGAAAGCGGCUCACUGGGUCUCUUCUGACGCUGAGGCACGAAAGCUAGGGGAGCGAACG